Molecule: ribosomal RNA, 493 nt
Filed under: uncultured bacterium
Lineage: Bacteria
Description: partial 16S ribosomal RNA
Rfam family: Bacterial small subunit ribosomal RNA
Source: RNAcentral
AACGAACGCUGGCGGCGCGUCUUACACAUGCAAGUCGAACGGCAGGAAGGGGCUUGCCCCUUCUGAGAGUGGCGGACUGGUGAGUAACACGUGGGUGACAUACCUUUUAGUUGGGGAUAGCUAUUAGAAAUAGUAGGUAAUACCGAAUGUGACCGUACCUGUUAGAGGGGUACGAGGAAAGGAGCUAAGGCUUCGCUAAAAGAAUGGCUCGCGGCCCAUUAUGCUCGUUGGUGAGGUAACGGCCCACCAAGGCGAUGAUGGGUAUCCGGCCUGAGAGGGUGAACGGACACAUUGGGACUGAGAUACGGCCCAGACUUCUACGGGAGGCAGCAGUUAAGAAUAUUCCGCAAUGGACGAAAGUCUGACGGAGCGACGCCGCGUGGAUGAAGAAUGCCGAAAGGUUGUAAAAUCCUUUUAAGCCUGAUGAAUAAGCACAGUAGGGAAUGAUUGUGUGGUGACCGUAGGGCUUGAAUAAGCACCGGCUAAUUAUGUG